AUACAUAGCGUAAUGAAGCGAACCGGGGGAACUGAAACAUCUAAGUACCCCGAGGAAAAGAAAUCAACCGAGAUUCCCCCAGUAGCGGCGAGCGAACGGGGAGCAGCCCAGAGUCUGAAUCAGCUUGUGUGUUAGUGGAACGGUCUGGAAAGUCCGACGGUACAGGGUGAUAGUCCCGUACACCAAAAUGCACAGGUUGUGAACUCGAAGAGUAGGGCGGGACACGUGGUAUCCUGUCUGAAUAUGGGGGGACCAUCCUCCAAGGCUAAAUACUCCUGACUGACCGAUAGUGAACCAGUACCGUGAGGGAAAGGCGAAAAGAACCCCGGCGAGGGGAGUGAAAAAGAACCUGAAACCGUGUACGUACAAGCAGUGGGAGCCUCUUUAUGGGGUGACUGCGUACCUUUUGUAUAAUGGGUCAGCGACUUAUAUUCUGUAGCAAGGUUAACCGUAUAGGGGAGCCGAAGGGAAACCGAGUCUUAACUGGGCGUUAAGUUGCAGGGUAUAGACCCGAAACCCGGUGAUCUAGCCAUGGGCAGGUUGAAGGUUGGGUAACACUAACUGGAGGACCGAACCGACUAAUGUUGAAAAAUUAGCGGAUGACUUGUGGCUGGGGGUGAAAGGCCAAUCAAACCGGGAGAUAGCUGGUUCUCCCCGAAAGCU
RNAcentral lists this ribosomal RNA (663 nucleotides) under Citrobacter freundii. RNAcentral describes it as "partial 23S ribosomal RNA". It matches the Rfam family "Bacterial large subunit ribosomal RNA", at positions 162 to 867 of the family's 2925-position model. The record is from RNAcentral. Lineage: Bacteria; Pseudomonadati; Pseudomonadota; Gammaproteobacteria; Enterobacterales; Enterobacteriaceae.